Molecule: long non-coding RNA, 826 nt
Filed under: Oryza sativa (Asian cultivated rice)
Lineage: Eukaryota; Viridiplantae; Streptophyta; Magnoliopsida; Poales; Poaceae
Description: long non-coding RNA (OSAT_LNC000380)
Source: RNAcentral
AGAGCAAGAACAAUCCCUUGAUGAGAAGUCAAGUCUUUUUUUGGCCUAGUGUACCCUAUGAAUACUACAACUUUACAAGUUCAGGAACAAGAGUAUACGGCUAAUCAAGUACUACUAUUUACACUUUAAUUCUGAUUAUAUUAGCAUUCCUGCAAGUCACAUUUUUAUGUUCCAACAAUGUAUGGUAGGCACUAAUUUAGUCACUGGAUACAAGCAUCGAGCUCUGACGUCUCAAGUCAAUUUGUCAAAAUGAAUUUCCUUUUCAACUAUACUACAUUUUCUAUGACAUUUCUUAUCUGCAUUUCACAGGGUGGGCUAAACAUCAAAAUGUGUCGUUCAUGAAAUUUUAAUCUAAUGAAAAACAUGAGAUAGUUGCUCUUUGUCGGGGUUGUCUGCUGAUAGUAAGAGGUAAGUUUGCUCCUCAGGAUGUUGUUUCUGUUUAUUUUUUUUUUACCCUGGAACUAUUGUUUGAUUGUUUCUGUUCACACUUUUGGGCAAGAAUAGCACAUGGGUGAUGGGUCUAUCCUGCUUGUACUGCUGCUAUAGCAACGCAUCAAUGGCAUCAGGUACACAUUGUAAUAUUCUGCAAGGCUACAACCGCAGCUAUAUGGCUGUAUCAUCUUGAUCUGCUGUUACCGGUACUCUACAUUGUAAUGGAACAGUACUCAUCCGGGGGGGACCAUUCGUUUGGUCAAUACCACUCCCAAAUAAAUACGGUUGCUGCAUGUGAGACUGCAUCUGAGCUCACUGGCCGGAGAAUCCUAAAGCAUUUUCUAUUGAUUGUUAGCCCAGGGCAAGGCGAAGAUGAAGAUAAAAAAGAAGGUCC